This 502-nucleotide ribosomal RNA is filed under the name uncultured Glomeromycotina. RNAcentral describes it as "partial small subunit ribosomal RNA". It matches the Rfam family "Eukaryotic small subunit ribosomal RNA", at positions 591 to 1092 of the family's 1831-position model. Lineage: Eukaryota; Fungi; Glomeromycota. The record is from RNAcentral.
CCAAUAGCGUAUAUUAGUGUUGUUGUGGUUAAAAAGCUCGUAGUUGAAUUUCGGGAUUGGGAUAUAUCGGUCGUGCCUUUAGGGGCAUGAAUCAGUGUGUGGCCAAUUCUCACCUUCUGGUGAAUUGGGAUGCUCUCGGGUGUUUCAAUGAACUAGGACUUUUACUUUGAAAAAAUUAGAGUGUUUAAAGCGGGCAUUUUUGCUUGAAUACGUUAGCAUGGAAUAAUAAAAUAGGACGAUGGUUCUAUUUUGUUGGUUUUAGGACCACGUAAUGAUUAAUAGGGAUAGUUGGGGGCAUUAGUAUUCAAUUGUCAGAGGUGAAAUUCUUGGAUUUAUUGAGGACUAACUACUGUGAAAGCAUUUGCCAAGGAUGUUUUCAUUAAUCAAGAACGAAAGUUAGGGGAUCAAAGACGAUUUAUGUACGUCGUAGUCCUAACCAUAAACUAUGCCGACUAGGAAUCAGACAAAGUUAAUUUUUUAACGACUUGUUUGGUACCUUACG